CUCCGUAGGUGAACCUGCGGAGGGAUCAUUACACAAAUAUGAAGGCGGGCUGGAACCUCUCGGGGUUACAGCCUUGCUGAAUUAUUCACCCUUGUCUUUUGCGUACUUCUUGUUUCCUUGGUGGGUUCGCCCACCACUAGGACAAACAUAAACCUUUUGUAAUUGCAAUCAGCGUCAGUAACAAAUUAAUAAUUACAACUUUCAACAACGGAUCUCUUGGUUCUGGCAUCGAUGAAGAACGCAGCGAAAUGCGAUAAGUAGUGUGAAUUGCAGAAUUCAGUGAAUCAUCGAAUCUUUGAACGCACAUUGCGCCCUUUGGUAUUCCAAAGGGCAUGCCUGUUCGAGCGUCAUUUGUACCCUCAAGCUUUGCUUGGUGUUGGGCGUCUUGUCUCUAGCUUUGCUGGAGACUCGCCUUAAAGUAAUUGGCAGCCGGCCUACUGGUUUCGGAGCGCAGCACAAGUCGCACUCUCUAUCAGCAAAGGUCUAGCAUCCAUUAAGCCUUUUUUUCAACUUUUGACCUCGGAUCAGGUAGGGAUACCCGCUGAACUUAAGCAUAUCAAUAA
This 563-nucleotide ribosomal RNA is filed under the name Alternaria sp. RNAcentral describes it as "eukaryotic LSU rRNA". The stretch from base 197 to 350 matches the Rfam family "5.8S ribosomal RNA". The record is from RNAcentral. Lineage: Eukaryota; Fungi; Ascomycota; Dothideomycetes; Pleosporales; Pleosporaceae.